This 114-nucleotide non-coding RNA is filed under the name Aquabacterium sp. NJ1. RNAcentral's name for it is "TPP riboswitch aptamer (THI element)". It matches the Rfam family "TPP riboswitch aptamer (THI element)". From Rfam's summary of the family: Vitamin B(1) in its active form thiamin pyrophosphate (TPP) is an essential coenzyme that is synthesised by coupling of pyrimidine and thiazole moieties in bacteria. RNAcentral also lists the same sequence under 1 other name. Lineage: Bacteria; Pseudomonadati; Pseudomonadota; Betaproteobacteria; Burkholderiales; Sphaerotilaceae. The record is from Rfam by way of RNAcentral.
CGCACUGCUCCGGGGUGUGCCUCACGUUUUGACGUGCUGGCGCUGAGAUGGAAUACCGAACCCGCUGAACUUGAUCCGGUUCAUACCGGCGAAAGAAGAGCUGUACCUGAUGCG